UGGGAAUUGGCUUCAGAGCAGAGCAGUUGAGGAUGUCAUACAAACCCCUGACCAGUGCCUCUCAAUGCUUCUGUGAAGGUCCUUGAAACCCAGGGAAAUCUGAGAUACCAUGACUACCCAGAGGUGCCCAGACAACAUGACCACAUCCCAUAACAUAGCAUCCUGGGUGGAAUUUGCAGACAGAAGAAAGAGAAGAACUACAGAGUGAGUAACGCAUGGACAUUAGUCAACAUGUCAGUGUAGAUUCAUUGAUUGUGAAAGAUGUUCAAAGCCAUGUCUAUGCUAACCAUUGGUGAAACUAGCUGAGAGGUAUCAUUAACCUUCUUCACUGUCUUUUCAGUUUUUCUAUCAACUAAAACUAAAAGUUUAUCUUCAGAAAAGAAGACUGGGCAUGUGGCACAGGAGAUACUUUCAUUUGGCUGGUGCAGGGAGAGUGAGUGGAGGUGAUGUGGGAGAUGCUGAUAAUGGGAGUGUAUCCAGUCAUGCAGGGCCUCAUGGCCUGCCUUGGCUUCCUGCUCUACCCAGUGUGGAUGUAGGCAGCUGUGCAGAGGCUCUUAAGGGCACACCAGUGUGAUGGGUGGUACAUCCCAGGCCAUCUGGAGUGGUAUUGAGAAGGAGGGUGGGAUAUGUGUCUCAGACAGUAUUUGGGACAUAUUUGUGCUAAAAAUCAUUCCUUUUUGCUUAUAUUAAAUAUCACUGGGAAUCCUAUGGUUCUUUUGGCACCCUUGGCUGUGUUUCAGAGAGACAUUGUGGGACUGAGGACUAAACACGUGUGGAGAAGUGAUUGGCCAAACAGAAGCCACAAACCUGCAGGUGGAUGAAAGCUCGAGGUUCUUUAGACUUUUUGUAUGAACUUCACAGUCCCAAGUUCUCUAGAGGACAAGAAAGCUCCAUAGCAAGGUAACUAUUUCGGACAGGCUCACCUGGACAAGGUGGCCUAUGCAAGGACUGUGGCUGUUAGAGUGCCUCCAAGAGGUGAGGCCAGGAUGGAAUGAGAUAGAAAAUAACAACUGGAGUUGGAGCUGAAGCUGACACUGAUCCUUUUCAUCCUAAGUUUCCCAUUAUAAGAUGAGAAAUUUCUUGCAAGACAGCACAUUAGCAGUUGAGAUUCUGGAAGAUAUUCACAGGACAUGAUGUUGAGCUCUCAGAAGAUAUCUAGACUCCUGGGACAUGGCUGGGUCUGGCAGGGAUAAGGAGAGAGUGAAGAAAAUUUGGAGUGUGUCACAGGCCUUGAGACAGGAGGAAAGGAUGAAUGUGUACCCUGAAACUCAGUGCUAAAAUUAAAAAGUUAAAUCUUGGAAUAACUUAUGGAUUUUAGUAAUACUUAAUUUUUUUUUCAUUAUAUUUGAGUAUACAUUUGGGCUCUAUCUUCAGUUUCCAUAAAUUCUUUCAUAAAAGAAGAAUCAGUCAAGAAAAGGAACACAAUAACUUAAUAUAGUUAAUUGGGGAAAGCUUGAAUUUAGUACAAUUAAUUUCUAAUUUUUUUUUUUACAAUUUGACAUCUAUGAUCUUUGAAGUGUGCCACUUCUCAACUAAAACCUGAAAGAAAAUAUAUGUGAGUUUGCAUCUCUGUCUCUUUUUCUUAUGUAAAUAUCUUUAUACUUUAACCUUUCAGCUUUUGGAAGAAAUAGAAUGAAAGAUGGGCUGUGGAUCUCUCAGAUAUUGUCUGUAUUAAACACACUGGUAUUUGAAUGUAAGUCUCAAACAACUGUCCUUCCCUCUGCAGAAAUCCCAGACUCAUCUAAGCUGUUGGGUGAUUACAUGCUUACAUUGUCAAUAAAAACAGUCCCAGCUUCCACACCUGCUCCUUCACAUCAAUGGAGUUCAGUCUGGAAAGACAAAAAGAGAAGAAUUUGUAGAUAAACAUUAAUUAAAUGUUCCUAAGAGGUUGGAAGAGCCUGAAGCAUCCACCUUCUGGAAGCUUAGCUGCUUCCCUGGGAGCUGGUUCUGCCCAUGUGGGUACAGGGGGAAGAGCAGAGACUUGUUCCUUGGACAUCCUCCUAUCCUGAGACACUUCUUUAGAGGGAUCUUGGAAAGCAAGACAAAACACCACCACAUCACUCUACUUAAGAGUAGCUUUUCUUCUUCACUUUUUCAUUCCUACAUUAAGUAUGAGCUAACCUUACUUUAUAACAGGGAGUUAUUCCUGAAAAUUGUACUCAAUUAACCAAUGUGUAUACUUCAAAAGUUUCCUCAGUAACCUCCAUUAUGAUUGCAUUCCAACAGU
Molecule: long non-coding RNA, 2227 nt
Filed under: Marmota monax (woodchuck)
Lineage: Eukaryota; Metazoa; Chordata; Mammalia; Rodentia; Sciuridae
Source: RNAcentral